Molecule: non-coding RNA, 121 nt
Organism: Picea glauca (white spruce)
Lineage: Eukaryota; Viridiplantae; Streptophyta; Pinopsida; Pinales; Pinaceae
Source: Rfam
ACAUUCCUACAACGUAGCGAUAAUGCACCAAAUCACAUAAGAACUCCACAGUUAAGUGUGCUUAGGAUAGAGUAGUAUUGGGAUGGGUGACCUCCUAAGAAGUCCUAGUGUUUUAAAUGCC